ACGAACGCUGGCGGCGUGCCUAAUACAUGCAAGUCGAGCGAAGUUUUCUGGUGCUUGCACUAGAAAACUUAGCGGCGAACGGGUGAGUAACACGUAAAGAACCUGCCUCAUAGACUGGGACAACUAUUGGAAACGAUAGCUAAUACCGGAUAACAGCAUUAACUGCAUGGUUGAUGUUUGAAAGUUGGUUUUGCUAACACUAUGAGAUGGCUUUGCGGUGCAUUAGCUAGUUGGUGGGGUAAAGGCCUACCAAGGCGACGAUGCAUAGCCGACCUGAGAGGGUGAUCGGCCACACUGGGACUGAGACACGGCCCAGACUCCUACGGGAGGCAGCAGUAGGGAAUCUUCCGCAAUGGGCGAAAGCCUGACGGAGCAACGCCGCGUGAGUGAAGAAGGAUUUCGGUUCGUAAGGCUCUGUUGUUAGGGAAGAAUGAUUAUGUAGUAACUAUACAUAGUAGAGACGGUACCUAACCAGAAAGCCACGGCUAACUACGUG
This 496-nucleotide ribosomal RNA is filed under the name uncultured Gemella sp. Its description in RNAcentral is "bacterial SSU rRNA". It matches the Rfam family "Bacterial small subunit ribosomal RNA", at positions 29 to 507 of the family's 1533-position model. Lineage: Bacteria; Bacillati; Bacillota; Bacilli; Caryophanales; Gemellaceae. The record is from RNAcentral.